GCAUAUCAAUAAGCGGAGGAAAAAGAAACCAAACAGGGGAUUGCCCUAGUAACGGCGAAGUGAAGCGGCAACAGCUCAAAUUUGAAAUCUGGCUUUCGGGCCCGAGUUUGUAAUUUGUAGAGGAUACUUUUGAUGCGGUGCCUUCCGAGUUCCCUGGAACGGGACGCCAUAGAGGGUGAGAGCCCCGUCUGGUUGGAUGCCAAAUCUCUGUAAAGUUCCUUCGACGAGUCGAGUAGUUUGGGAAUGCUGCUCUAAAUGGGAGGUAUAUGUCUUCUAAAGCUAAAUAUUGGCCAGAGACCGAUAGCGCACAAGUAGAGUGAUCGAAAGAUGAAAAGCACUUUGAAAAGAGAGUUAAAAAGUACGUGAAAUUGUUGAAAGGGAAGCGUUUAUGACCAGACUUGGACUUGGUUAAUCAUCUGGGGUUCUCCCCAGUGCACUUUUCCAGUUCAGGCCAGCAUCAGUUUUCGCCGGGGGAUAAAGGCUUCGGGAAUGUAGCUCUCUUCGGGGAGUGUUAUAGCCCGUUGUGUAAUACCCUGGUGGAGACUGAGGUUCGCGCUUCUGCAAGGAUGCUGGCGUAAUGGUCAUCAACGACCCGUCUUGAAACACGGACCAAGGAGUCGUCUUCGUAUGCGAGUGUUCGGGUGUCAAACCCCUACGCGUAAUGAAAGUGAACGCAGGUGAGAGCUUCGGCGCAUCAUCGACCGAUCCUGAUGUUCUCGGAUGGAUUUGAGUAAGAGCAUACGGGGCCGGACCCGAAAGAAGGUGAACUAUGCCUGUAUAGGGUGAAGCCAGAGGAAACUCUGGUGGAGGCUCGCAGCGGUUUCUGACGUGCAAAUCGAUCGUCAAAUAUGGGCAUGGGGGCGAAAGACUAAUCGAACCUUCUAGUAGCUGGUUUCCGCCGA
RNAcentral lists this ribosomal RNA (902 nucleotides) under Fusarium avenaceum. RNAcentral describes it as "LSU rRNA". It matches the Rfam family "Eukaryotic large subunit ribosomal RNA", at positions 38 to 964 of the family's 3401-position model. Lineage: Eukaryota; Fungi; Ascomycota; Sordariomycetes; Hypocreales; Nectriaceae. The record is from RNAcentral.